RNAcentral lists this ribosomal RNA (252 nucleotides) under uncultured Bacteroidales bacterium. RNAcentral's name for it is "partial 16S ribosomal RNA". It matches the Rfam family "Bacterial small subunit ribosomal RNA", at positions 524 to 776 of the family's 1533-position model. The record is from RNAcentral. Lineage: Bacteria; Pseudomonadati; Bacteroidota; Bacteroidia; Bacteroidales.
UACGGAGGAUGCGAGCGUUAUCCGGAUUUAUUGGGUUUAAAGGGUGCGUAGGCGGUCCGUUAAGUCAGCGGUAAAAUUGCGGGGCUCAACCCCGUCGUGCCGUUGAAACUGACACCCUUGAGUGAGUGAGAAGUAAGCGGAAUGCGUGGUGUAGCGGUGAAAUGCAUAGAUAUCACGCAGAACGCCGAUUGCGAAGGCAUCUGACGAAUCGGAGAUUGACGCUGAUGCACGAAAGCGUGGGUAUCGAACAGG